Sapajus apella (tufted capuchin) is the source of this 1960-nucleotide long non-coding RNA. RefSeq lists it as uncharacterized. The record is from RefSeq and is a predicted model, not a curated record. Lineage: Eukaryota; Metazoa; Chordata; Mammalia; Primates; Cebidae. The transcript is spliced from 2 exons.
GUGAGCCAAGAUUGUGCCACUGCUGCAUGCCAGCCUGGGCAACAGAGAAAGACUCUGUCUCAAAAAAAAAAAAAAAAAGAGUUAUCCAGAUAUUGCCUCUUAGCAACUGACGUUACCACUGAGGGUGCAGAUGUAGAACACACACCUGAGUUGCCCUGCCUGAGGGUGAGGGAGCUGGGAUGUAUAUACGCACCUGCCUAUCAGUGGUUGAGAAAUUCACCUGGGGUGGGAGGGAGGAGCUUUGAUUCUCCAGCACUUUUGCCCUCAUGGCCCAGCAGGCAAAGCAAAAGAAAGCUCUUAGGUGAAUAACUGUAGAAUUUGGGAAUUAGAAGUGUUAAUAGUAUGGGCAGGGGAUCCGUGGCACCCUAGACAUCUGCUGCAGACCUGUUCGGUGGGAUCCUUGGAGGACAACUGUGAGUUGAUGACUGGUAACCAGUGGGUCUGAGUGUCUGGGAUUUGGGGAGAGGCCUCUGCUAGAGAUGGAUAUUUGGGGGGUUGUCAGCAUUAAAGCCAUGGGAAGGGGUGAGAUGGCCAAGGGAGAGAUCAUGGAGUGAAGAGAGAAGAGGACCCAGAAUUGAGCCCUAAAGACCAUCAGCAUGUAAAGAGGUCGAUGGAGAGAAAUGAGCCACAAAAAGAAAUAAGAAGGAGCCAGCAGGAAAGUAGAGGGAAAACGAGGUGAGUGUGAUUUGGAAGAGGGAUCUGGAGAAGUCAGAAUGAUGAGGACAUCACCGUUGCUGAAGGUACCCACCAACAGAGUGAAUACUCUGAACAUAGUUCCAUUUCUUUAUUUCUUUUCUCCUGAGCCAGUGAGUCAAGCUCCUCUGGCCUCAUUUUAUUUGGGUACGGUUUACCCCACUGCCCAAAAAUGAUCUCCUUAUUCCCUAGAAGCUACCUAGGAGAUGUUUAAGAGAUCUGGGAGCACAACUUACCUCGUUGUCAGAAGACUGGCAUACAUCACCAUGUAAAAUGUUAGGCUGAAGGCUUGGUCCACUCUGGAGUCCAUCAGAAGUGGAGCACUCAGCCUAGGUCAGGCCCUUACAGAGGGAAAAGGGCCAUUUACUGAGUGCCAUGGAAAAUGGAUGAACCCAACUUGGCACCAGUCACCCACAUCCCCGCCUUCUCAGUUUGGGUCGCAGAAGUCCUCAGGAGGGACAAGGCUGGCUGUGAUGGUUGGGUUCUGGCUGUGAUGGCUAGGCUUUGGUGACCCUGGGCUCCCAUUCCUAAUGAUGUGAUCUUCUUUGAGAGGUCGUUGGAGGAGAAUUGGGUCUUGAAGUAAUGCCCAUAGUCUAUACUGACAGGACAUGCCCACAGCUGCCCUGUUGUGACCAGGGCCCAGACCUUUUAUAUAGAGUGCUCACUGCCCUCCAGGCCCUACUGCCAGAGGAAGGCUGACCAUGAGUUGGCUGUAGCAUUAGUUUCAGGUACUUAUCUCUCAUUGCAUUAUUUCCUCCUAAAGACCUGGUCAGAGGAACAGGGGAUAUUAAUCAUUAUUGUCUCAGUCACUUUAUAUUAGUAACAAGAGACUGGCUUUGCCAACACUCAAUAUCAAAUUAUACUUCUGCCAGCUCUCAGGCAACAGACAGAGUUACCCCUGAUUUGUGGGUCAUUCAAACCAAAAAUUACUUAGUAUUUAUCCUAAACAUGUACAAUUUUUAUGUUUCUAUUUCCAAGGGAACUUGGUCUUAACAGUAUUCUGUUGGAAAUCUCCUUACCCAGGCUAAUCUCCAAACUGCUUUCUCUUGAUCCACCUUCUUGUUCUCAAGUGGAUCCUCACGAGCAGAGCCCUAAGGACCCCUUUCCUCCUUAGGAUGAUGAAAGGACCCCCCCCACCCCCACAUUAGGAAGCAGGAUCACAGUGCUCCUUUUAGUAGCAUCUUUUUAUUUACAAGACACUGCUGAUUCUGUAUUGUUCUGAUUUUAAGCUAAAACAAACUAGAGAUUAAAAUGAUUUUUAAAUGGA